Odocoileus virginianus texanus is the source of this 5431-nucleotide non-coding RNA. Lineage: Eukaryota; Metazoa; Chordata; Mammalia; Artiodactyla; Cervidae. The record is from RefSeq and is a predicted model, not a curated record.
ACGUCACAGUGAUUGCCGUACUAACGUCGAGAUCGCUCCCUGGAGCCCGAAUAUGAGCUCAUGAUAGUGCCUAAAGCAGUCGCAGGAAGAGGCCCAGUACCCUCACCCUUUCCGCCGCAAUGGGAGUUUCAAGUUUAGGUAAAUAAUAGGGUUGUGAGGGAAAAACUACGAUUUCCAGCAUGCACUGCGGAUCGAAAGGCCUUGGCCACAGUGUUCCUUGGAAACUGUAGUCUUAUGGAGAGGAACCUCCGAUACGGGAGGCAGACACGAGUCUAACGACAAUUCAGUUGAUAAACUGAAGAGCUCCGCGCGCUUAUGCAUGCCAACAGAUAUGGAUUGGAGUGUUAUGUUUUCGUAUGUCGAGCGUGGAUAAUAGGCUAAAGAACCUACAAGUCCUAGUAAGACUACAGCCCCCAUCCAGCCCCGCGAGUCUCCAGCAAGUCGUCCUCUAAAGUCGGUGACCUAAAGAAAUGCAACUGGCGCGUUUUUUACCUAGGAAGGGGAAAUCAUCCGGGGCCCCGGCCCACGGCUGCGCACUCGCAGUUCCGCCCCUUUGCCCCGUGUUUGUUAUUGUUGUGAGGGUCAAGCUCCUCCUGCCCCGCCCCCGCCAACUUAUCUUCGACCAAUCAGUAGGGCUGUAGUUUUGAAGGACACUUGGUAAGAACCAAUCAUCUUGUCGAAAACUCAGAGAGCCUGGGGACUAGGCCCUGUCUCUGUCCGCCAUGUUAGAUUCACCCCGCAGGAGUAGCAGCAGAGCUGGCAGCGAACGGUUCUUGCAUUGGCCUCCGGCAGGCGCCCCCCGGGGGCGGGAAGCUGCCCCACAACAUGGAACCACAGGUUACACUAAAUGUGACUUUUAAAAAUGAAACUCAAAGCUUUCUAGUUUCUGACCCAGAAAAUACAACUUGGGCUGAUGUGGAAGCUAUGGUAAAAGUUUCAUUUGAUCUGAACACUAUUCAAAUAAAAUACUUGGAUGAGGAAAAUGAAGAGGUAUCCAUCAACAGUCAAGGAGAAUAUGAAGAAGCACUUAAGAUGGCAGUUAAGCAGGGAAACCAGUUGCAGAUGCAAGUCCAUGAAGGCUGUCGUGUUGUCGAAGAAGCCCCACCCCCUAAUGGAACAGAAAAACGACCAGUUGCUAGGACAGGAAAGAAGCCACUUGCACAUUAUUCUUCACUGGUGAGAGUCUUGGGGUCAGACAUGAAGACCCCAGAGGAUCCUGCAACACAGCAGCUUCCACCUGCUCCACGUAAUCCAGACCAGCCUCAAGACAAGCCCCCUGACUGGUUCACAAGCUACCUAGAGACAUUCAGAGAACAAGUGGUUAAAGAAACGGUUGAAAAGCUUGAACAGAAAUUACGCGAGAAGCUUGUCCUCCAGAAUCCAUCCUUAGGUUCAUGUCCCUCAGAAGUUUCAAUGCCUGUUUCAGAGGAGACUCUGUUUUUGCCAGAAAACCAGUUCAGCUGGCAUAUUGCUUGCAGCAGCUGCCAAAGGAGUAUCAUGGGUGUGCGCUACCAGUGCAGCCUCUGCCCAUCCUACAAUAUCUGCGAAGAUUGUGAAUCAGGGCCAUAUGCCCAUGACUCCAACCAUGUCCUGCUGAAGUUGCGGAGACCGGUUAUGGGUUCCUCUGAACCGUUUUCUCACUCGAGGUUGUCUACUCCUCGCCUUCCUGCUGCUUUGGAACAGGCCAGGCUCCAGAAGCAAGUUGAUAAGAACUUUCUUAAAGCAGAAAAGCAAAGAUUGCGGGCUGAGAAGAAACAGCGUAAAGCAGAGGUCAAGGAACUUAAGAAGCAGCUUAAACUCCACAGGAAGAUUCAUCUAUGGAAUUCACUUCAUGGGCUGCAGAGCCCCAAGUCUCCUUUGGGCCGACCCGAGAGCCUGCUGCAGUCAAACACCCCGAUGCUCCCUCUGCAACCCUGUGCCCCAGUUAUGCCGACACUCAGUGCCGCAUUUGUGGACGAGAAUUUGCCUGAUGGGACUCACCUCCAGCCAGGAACCAAGUUUAUCAAACACUGGAGGAUGAAAAAUACAGGAAAUGUCAAGUGGAGCACAGACACAAAGCUCAAGUUCAUGUGGGGAAACCUGACUUUGGCUUCUACUGAAAAGAAGGAUGUUUUGGUUCCCUGCCUAAAGGCUGGCCAUGUGGGAGUCGUGUCUGUGGAGUUCAUUGCCCCAACCUUGGAGGGAACAUACACUUCCCAUUGGCGUCUUUCUCACAAAGGCCAGCAGUUCGGGCCUCGGGUCUGGUGCAGCAUCAUAGUGGAUCCUUUCCCCUCCACAGAGAGCCUGGAUAACAAUGAAAAGAGCAUGAUCAGCUCAAGCAGAGGUGAUGAUCUCACCUGCCAGGAAGAGGAAGCUUUUCUGGCUAAAGAAGAAAUUCUGCCUGGUGAAACAACUGAGCAGACAGAAGGGACAGGAGCUCGCAUCCCACAGAAGGCAAAGCAUGCUGCCAGCAAGAGAGAGCUCUACAUCCCAUCUGUGGACCUUCUGACUGCCCAGGAUCUGCUGUCCUUUGAGCUGUUGGAUAUAAAUAUUGUCCAAGAGUUGGAGAGAGUGCCCCACAACACUCCUGUGGAUAUGACUCCCUGCAUGUCUCCUCUGCCACAUGACAGUCCUUUAAUAGAGAAGCCAGGCUUGGGGCAGAUACAGGAAGAGAGUGAAGGGGCGGGAUUUAAAGCACUUCCUGAUUCCACAGUGUCAGUAAAGAAGAAGGCCGAGAACAUUUCUUCCGUGGAGGAACCAGAAGAUGAUUUGAGUGGGACCCAGUUUGUGUGUGAGACUGUCAUCCGAUCCCUUACGUUGGAUGCUGCCCCGGAUCACAAACCACCUUGCAGACAGAAGUCCCUGCAGAGGGCAGAAUUACAGCUGCACACCACAGAGGAACAGCAGCCAACUGUGCUGCCUGGGUUCUGCAGUAAAGAGUCUUCUUUGAAAUUUGCCUCACCUGAAGAGGGACCACUUGCAGACGAGAGGGAGGAGAUUGUCCAGAUUGCUGAAGAAGAGGCUGUUGUGGAGGAAGAGGAUGAGCUCAAAGAUGAAGUUCGGAGUCAGUCCUCUGCUUCUUCAGAGGACUAUAUCAUCAUCCUGCCUGAGUGCUUUGACACCAGCCGCCCCCUGGGGGACUCCAUGUACAGCUCUGCGCUCUCACAGCCAGGCCUGGAGCGAGGGGCUGAAGGCGAGCCUGGGAUUGAGGCUGGGCAGGAACCAGUCGAAGCUGGGGAGAGACCCCCUGGAGGGGAGAGCCAGCCACAAGGGCACAGCAUCAGUGACAUCCUUAUGACCUCACAGACUCUGGACACAGUGCCCCUAACCCCAGAGGUGGUGGGGCCUCCGCCACAGCUGCCCAGGUACCAUCUGUACCCCACUCUGCUGGGCUGUCCUCCAGAGGAGUCCUCCCUGUGCACAGCAUCAUGGCUCCCCAGGAGUGGAUUUACCAGUUACCGUACCAGAAGUUUCUUCAGUCCCUGGUCAGAUCAGAGGAGAGCUCAGAGGCUCAUCAGGACUUGUAAACAGCAGACCGAAGAGCUAUGACCACUCAAGGCACCACCACCACCACCACGGGAACAGCAUUGCUGGAGGACUGGUGAAGGGGGCUUUGUCCGUUGCUGCCUCUGCAUACAAGGCCUUGUUUGCUGGACCACCAGUCACCGCACAGCCAGUAGUUUCUGAAGAUCAGACAGCAGCGCUGAUGGCCCAUCUCUUUGAAAUGGGAUUCUGUGACAGGCAGUUGAACCUAAGGCUGCUCAAGAAACACAAUUACAACAUCCUGCAAGUGGUGACAGAACUCCUUCAGGUCAACAACAACGAUUGGUAUAGCCACCGCUACUGAGGAGUGACCUCGUAUUAAAUAACUUUGCCUGCUGCUCAGAGAUGAUCUUUAUUCUGUUGGGGCAUGGGGUAGAGACCCUUGCUAAUUUUUUAAUCUGAUGAAUCUAUAAUAAGAGCCCACCAUUGAAUUAUCAAGACAGUACCUGCAUUGCAGUAUUUUUUGGAGCAAAUCAAAAACCAGAACUUAAAUUUUCACCGUAGACAUUAGGUGAAUUGUAGCAAGAGCAUUUUUCAAUUGAUUUGGAUAAAGCUCCUUUCUCUGUUUUAGUGCACUGAAGAGUAUAACUUAAACUUCCUAUAGAACCAUUUUUCUUUCUGCUUGUAUUGAAGUUGAGUAUUUUUCUUUGCUUAACAUGGAUGUUUUUAUGAGGAUAUCUGUUGUCAGUUUUUAAAAGGAAUUAACCUUGCAAGUUGUUUUCCAGAAUUAUUCUCAUAAUUUCUCUUAACCUAUCCCAAGCUUAAAUAGCUAUGUGGUAUUAAAAUGACACCUAGAAUGUGAUAGGAAUUUUGUUACUCUUCCCUUUUCAAGUAGAAAGUCACUUCUCUGCAAGUCUCGGUAAUCAGCACUGUUGUUUUCUAAAGACCCCACUGAUGCGUUGAAGUAUAUCCACCUUCCACGUCUCUGCACUUCUGAGUAAGGAGCGGGGAGUGUGCUAAAUAACCCACCAGCACCUGUUGAACAGUGUCUAUUGUAGCAAUUUUGCAUACAUUUGUAUUUUAUUUAAGGGAAAAAGUUUAGGUAGUGUGAAAUAUUUUGCUAAUCCUAUAAAGAAGAAAAAAACUUCUAUUAAAGGAAAAAGUAAAUUUAACAGUUAACUUUUUUCUUUAUGUCAGGGGGCAGGUCUUAUUUACAGUAGAGUGGGCAAGGGCUGUAUAGAAACAUGAGAAAACUGAACUUUAUUAUGUGAAUAUCAGUAAAAUUCAGGAGCGGGCAAAUAAGUGGGUGUGAGGCUUUGAAAUGGGAUUCAGGAAGUCCUGAAUGUCUCUUGAAUGUUUGAAAUCUGUUCAAGAGAACUUAGAACAAGAAAAAGAGGCUGAUAUUUUACAAAACUUGGAUGGGGAGCAAACUCACAGAAAAAAGUUUUGGUUAAUUUAACCCCAGGGUAAGUGAGUGGGAAAGAGCUUGCUUACAAAGGUCCAAAGUCCUCACUCCGUUUAUAGAAGGGAGUCUUGGGUACAGCUGGUAAAGAGGUAACAAAAAACACUAAAGAUUUUAGUCAUAAAAAUUGCUUGCAGAAAAGAAAUCUGACCCCCCAGCCCGAAGGGGGAGGGAUAAUAAAAUAGUAUUAUAUAACCUGGUUGGUAUUACAGUGAAUGAUGAUUUAAUCAUUAGCCAUAAUGAUGUUUAUUUACAGUAUAACCUUUCAAUGCUGUUAAAUAGGCCAGGAUUCAGACUGCAAGCCAACCAGGCUGUUCGUUAUUUAAAACGUUUUUAUGGGGCCGUCUGGGUAGAGGCUGAGCAGCCGGUUGUGUGUAAUUAAUUGAGUUGAUUUGGGACGGGAUCUGUCUUGACCAUCUGAGUCGUAUUGUAAGGGUCCAGUCGUCUGUCCCAUUGUACUUGUACGUAACCGCUUAAAGAAUGGUGAAAUAAACUUUGAAACUCUUA